AGUUUGUUUACAAACUGCAUACAAUAAUGCGACGUUUGCCGAAAGGCAAACUUGGCAGAUAAACAGUGAGGCUGAAUUCCUUCCGAACUGUUUAUCAUAU
This is a small RNA of Treponema denticola ATCC 35405, 100 nucleotides long. It matches the Rfam family "TD-2 RNA". From Rfam's summary of the family: non coding RNA found in Treponema denticola Lineage: Bacteria; Pseudomonadati; Spirochaetota; Spirochaetia; Treponematales; Treponemataceae. The record is from Rfam.